This is a long non-coding RNA of Linepithema humile (Argentine ant), 1085 nucleotides long. RefSeq lists it as uncharacterized. The record is from RefSeq and is a predicted model, not a curated record. Lineage: Eukaryota; Metazoa; Arthropoda; Insecta; Hymenoptera; Formicidae.
GGCGAGCCAAACCAACCUUUCUCUUUUUGGCGGGCUUAAUUGUUGAGUCAUGGUUUGUCGUUGGGCUCCAAAAAUUUAAUUCAUUUAGCUAAAAAUCGCCGGCUCUAUCCUGAGGUAAUACUGUUGAUUCUUAAUUCACCACCAGAAGCAAUGUACCGAUAACUUUUCGAUGUAAUCACUUCAUGGAAAAUCCUGUUUUCUCUUCUGCUGUCGUCUAAAAUUGGAAAUAAGAAUUUAUUAAUGGCGAGUCAUUCCCCGGUAUGAUCGAUCCGAUUAUCGCUCGGCGUGCUCGUCCUCGCAAUUUCGAGCGGCGUACAUCACCGUUCCCUCGGGUCUUCGCAAAUCGUUCGUCGCAGUUCGAUGAUGAUUCCCAUACGGCCUGGGAAAAAUGUCUGCGAAUAUCACAGGAUUUUACAGAGCUUCAAGUGGUGCAUCUAUGAAUACAUGGCUAUGUGCAUCGAUUACUAUGGAAUCACACGGAUUUCCUUUCGCGAGAGCGGGCGGAAUUAUCAUGGCCUUCAAGAACAUGGAAUCGAGUGAGUUCGCCGGUGCGGGGGAGGCAAUGGCCCGAGGAGAGCGCGCGAUCCACGAGGGUAACGGCAUCGAAUUCUGCGAAUGAUGUAUUGGAAGUAACUGCGGCCAAUAAAAAUCAAGCGCUUUCUCUGGCCCGCGUGAUUUGUGGCCGAUAAAUCAAAAGGGACCGCACUUCUUACACGCGCCGCUUAAGCGGAAACGUGUGGAAUCGUAUUCGGCUCAUGUGAUCACGCGAUUUCUAUUGAUCAUGUGACUCUGACGUCACAAAACCUAUCGUGCGCAAGAUCACUUCACGAGAUGGCGAUAGAGUGAUCACACGCGAGCGAGCGGCGUUCUACGUUUCACAUAUAUAUUUUCUCGUCCAAAGUGAAUUUGGAAAUUCAUCAUUGCUGCUUUUCAACGCGAUUAGAAGCUACGAGCGAUUGUUGUUUUGAGGAGCAAUUUCUUGGAAAUAGGCUGUGUUGUUGGAGCUAUGUGUUGUUGUCGUUGGAGCUACAUAUGUGUAAGGUUUGGAAUUACUGAAUAUAAUAAUCCGACCAGUUUUAUAAAGU